This is a small nuclear RNA of Nannospalax galili (Upper Galilee mountains blind mole rat), 190 nucleotides long. Its record names the gene U2. It matches the Rfam family "U2 spliceosomal RNA". Rfam says of the family: U2 is a small nuclear RNA (snRNA) component of the spliceosome (involved in pre-mRNA splicing). Complementary binding between U2 snRNA (in an area lying towards the 5' end but 3' to hairpin I) and the branchpoint sequence (BPS) of the intron results the bulging out of an unpaired adenosine, on the BPS, which initiates a nucleophilic attack at the intronic 5' splice site, thus starting the first of two transesterification reactions that mediate splicing. The record is from Ensembl. NCBI's taxonomy places the organism in Eukaryota, Metazoa, Chordata, Mammalia, Rodentia, Spalacidae.
AAAUCUUCUCAGCCUUUUGGCUAAGAUCAAGUAUAGGAUCUGUUAUUACCAGUUUAAUAUCUGAUAUGGUCUCUAUCUGAGCACAAUCUAUUAAAUGGAUUUGGGAGCUAGGAGAUGGAAUGCGAGCUUGCUCUGUUCACUCUGUACAUAGAUCUGGUAUUGCAGUGCUUCUGGGAAUAGUGCGUCCUUC